AAAAAAAAAAAAAAAAAAACAUGCCCAUCCUUUCACUCUUUUCAACACUAUCAUAUUCUGCUCUUUUACUUUUUAGAACAUGCACAUCAUAUUAGCUUCCACCAGACUUAGCUAUAUGUAACGCAUUUGGGCAUAUAAAAGAUAAUUAACCCAUUUGCUUAAUUAAAUGUAAUUAAUUAAUAUAAUAACCACUUGCUUUGCCUAGCUAUCUACCUCCACUUGCACAAAUAAUGGAGAGUUUUGUGACCUUCAAAUUGAUUAUGUGGUGGUCUAUUGAAUGCUUGCAAUUCAUUGCAUUUGCUUCUGCUGCUGCAAGAGAAUUUAUUCACUAUAUGAUGUUGCCGUGAGUUUCAAGAUACUAGUCAUAUUGUUACGUAAGCCUGUAAAACAGAAA
This 394-nucleotide unclassified non-coding RNA is filed under the name Hevea brasiliensis (rubber tree). The record is from RNAcentral. Lineage: Eukaryota; Viridiplantae; Streptophyta; Magnoliopsida; Malpighiales; Euphorbiaceae.